GUGGCGGGAAGCGGGGCCCAGCACACCCCUCAGCCCACACUGCUUCCCACAGCCCCCUUUGGCCUGGGACGGCGAACCACAGCCAGUGGGAGCUGCAAUCGGCCGAACCUGUGGACGCAGCAGAUAAAUGACUGACUCCCCACUUGCUUAAAAACAAUGAUAGACAUAAGGCAGCCAGAUCAUCAAAACAAGUUGAGCCUCUCAUGUGGAGAACCUAGCUGCCUGAAGAGGAACCUUCAAAGAGGAUACAAACCCCCAUGUGCAGCAUCACGCAGCAUCUUGUACAAAGUAGUGUCUAGACACCGUGCUGAGAAUGAGGCCCUAUUGUAUCAAGCACUGUACAAACACUGAGAAAUAGUCUGCACCACAAAGAGCUUACAGUCUAAACAGACAAGCCAGACAAAAGGGAAAGAAAGAAAGGAGAACAUCAAGUCAAGAAUAGAAAAAGAUAAGAAAUGGCAGGAGAGUGGUUUCAUGAUUUACCAGAUUUAAAUGAAAAUGAAAUGAUGGACUUAAUAACAGACAUCAGAAUUUUAAAUUAUCUCAUAGAU
Molecule: long non-coding RNA, 551 nt
Organism: Mauremys mutica (yellowpond turtle)
Lineage: Eukaryota; Metazoa; Chordata; Testudines; Geoemydidae
Exons: 4
Source: RefSeq, a predicted model, not a curated record